RNAcentral lists this long non-coding RNA (5022 nucleotides) under Mytilus galloprovincialis (Mediterranean mussel). The record is from RNAcentral. Lineage: Eukaryota; Metazoa; Mollusca; Bivalvia; Mytilida; Mytilidae.
AAACUUUUAGUUACGUAAUUUACCAUAUUAAAUGGAAUGGUGUAAAUAAAGUAUAUUAUUACACUUAACCUUGACCAAGAAUAUCGUAGGAUUGCAUAAAAGUUACCGAAAUCAAUAGUAAAUGGUCAUGGUUUCAUGGCUAGCAUACUGUAUCCGGCGAAACUAAUCGAAGAAAGCAGGUAAGACUUUUGAAUAUAAUGAAUACAUUCAUUUAUUUAAACUUGUUCACACUAGUUAGACUAAAACAUACUUUCAAACAGUUUUAUUAUUUCUAGUAUUACAGAAUAGAGUAGAGGCGAGUGAGGUUCUUUUUAAAAUUAAACGCGCUUGAAUUUUCUUCUCCUUUUGUAUCCUAUCAUUAUCAUUAGCUUAUAUCUUUAUGAUAGAACAUAGGAAAAUUCAUAAUAGAAAACAAGCUGAAAAUGUUGAACCCCAGACUUUAGUUUGGCUAUAUAAUUAAGGCUCAAUAACAGUUAUUGAGCCUUAAUUAUGUAGCCAAACUAAAGUCUGGGGUUACAACUCGCAUGAUACGUAGAAUUAUAAUACCUCAGUAUGUUUUUUCUAUAUAAAAAUAAUGAAAUAGUUGUGCUAUUUCAUUCCACAGACUAUUUGCCAGUCAAUAGUUUCAAAGACUUUUACCCGGUUAAUAGUUAACUUUCAUAAUCAUAUUUCCCGUACUUUUUUAUACUUAUUUUUCAUUGGACAAUAAUGAGGUCAUUAACUAAUCUGUUUGGUUUUGUGUGCUUUGCAAUGUCAAAGUCUGAUAUCGUAAACGGUAAAAUCUAUUUGUGUUUGUCUUAAUUUCAAAUUGAUAUACUGUAUCACUUUUAAAUAUAUGUACCAGAGGCCAUUAAAAAAAGAAAUCUUUGCAGCACAUUUUUAAAAGAUUUAAAACAUAGUAAAUGUAUAAUAUGGGUUUAUCGACGUCUUCAUAAACUGUGAUUGAUUUGGUGUACCAUGUGUACAGCACUUAAGCUAGUCUAGUAGAAAUAAUCAUGUGCACAGGAAUUUUUAAACAAGACAUUAGUAUUCCUACAUGUCCUAGUCUUGAUUACAGUACAUGAAAUAUUUACAAAUUCAACACGUACUAUAAAAAUAACAAACUUAGAGUUCAUAUAGUGCAUAUUUAUGAGAAUUUUUUCUUUUCUUUCAGAUAAUGUAUGAAGACUUUUUAGAAAUUUGGUUGGAUUAGUAUAAUAAAACACUUAAUGACUGGUUAUGAGGGUAAUAGCAAGUUUGUUGUCCCUUUGAUACAAACUAUUGCCUUCGGCUUCGCCUCGAGCAAUAGUUGGUAUCUCAGGGACAACAUACUUGUUGUUACCCUCAUAACCAGUCAAUAGGUGUAUAGUGUUUAAAAAAAUCCUACUAAUGCCCAACUAUUACAGUGUCUUAACUUUACGCUUUCAACUAUGACGUCACACAAUGUAUUGCCUAAUAUUUUCAGUGAUACAGCCAGUAUGUUGAUACCCGAAAAUAUUAGGCAGUAAGAUCAAAGGAAAAAUAUACGAAUUACCGAUAAAUGUACUUAUCUACUUCCUUUACAACUAUCACAGAACUAAUCAUUAACUUUCGUAGUAAAGCGUGUGGUGAAAUUUACUAUUUUUGGGCAAGUUACAUGUAGUUACACUUUUAACUGAAAAUUGUACGUGCCCCCGCCAGGAAUUGCUAAAUUAGUGCAUUUUACUUAUUUUAAGUUUUGAAGCCAAAAAAAAGGUCCAAAAAUAUUUUCGCCUCUUUCCGCUCGGUCAGAGAUUUUACUAAACACCCCUUUGGAAAAUCCUGGGUCCGCCCUUGUCUCACUCCAACAUAUCUGUACUCAAAUGAAAACAAACCGUUAUUUGUAUGCAGAUCAAAUGUAGGCAUUCAAGGAAUAAACCUGGUUAGUCUUAAAAUAUGCAUUUCAUACAAUAAAUAUUCGGCAGCAGUACUUAUGUGCUAAAUGCUAUUUUCAAGAUGUAUCAUUUCGCCAAACAUUAUUUUUCAAAGGUAUCAUUUGUGCCAAAUUACUUGUCAAUAAUGACUUUCAACCGAAAUUUUGCUUAAAUAAGUAUCCUUAAUACAUUAUUGUAGUAAAUGAAAAAGAUAAUUCAUGGAAUAAAUAUCCGUAAUAAAUUGUGGUAAAUGAAAAAACUAACUCAUGGAAUAAAUGGAACAUUUUGAAAUCAUAGAUGUUCGAUACUUUAACACGUUAAGACCUAUAUGACCAUCUGGCAUUUAAGGUCAUCUUUGUGAAAUUGAAUUGGAACCUUAGGUUUUUUUUUAUUGGUACAUGUAUAUCAACAGAAUUUUUAUAAACGUUAGUUAUAAAAUUUGACAGUACAAUGUAGUACCGAAGCACUGCCUACUAAGGUGAUGAUAGAUAAUUCCUAAAGUACUAACAGACCAUCACCAAUGGCAUCGGUCCGGUGCAAGUAAAUGAAAAUAGCACUAUUCAGAAUUUGUAUUUAUAUUGUAUGAAACUGUUUUCAGGUACCGAUAUUAGAUCUUUCACGGUCCAAUGGCUAUGUUUGACUGCCGUCCCUUAUUCUUUCACGAUCUUUUUACUCAAUAUACCGAAUGAUUUACAUUCACUCUUCUCAAUUAGGGAACAUCAAAUCCUACAUCUUCAAUGGAUGAGAGUACUUUGCUAUAUUCUUACCGUGGAACACUACUUGUUUAAAAGCAAAUCAAGAUUUCAGCUUUCUAAGAAGACCGACGGAAAACAAAACAACAGUAAAAACUGUACAAAACACAGAAAACGAAAUUAAGCAACACGAAUCAAAUAAAAAAUAGAGUGAUUUCGGUUGAAAAAACGAAGACAUUAAAAUAAAUGUAUCAACUAAAAACAAAUUAAGAAAUAGAAAUACGAGCCCUUUUAUAGGAAACCCUUUUAAUGUACGGUUGGUACACUGAAAUGCAGAGUUCAGACCCUAUAGAUUUAAAUGGUAUAUUUUGUCAUAGUUUAAGUAUUUAUUUUUUCGUGCAACGUUCAUGACAGAAAUUAUUUCACGUUCAACUUGAAAUUAUGUCUAUUUCACGUUUUUCCGUGCAAGCACCCCCCUUUACCACCCUCAUUGAAUAAUGUAAGCAUGAAUCAAACCUAAUUGUGGUAUCAGUGAGUUCCAGUUACGAGUACGCUCGACAGAUGCAAUAGAUAUUAAUAUCAAGCAGUAAAUUAUUCUGAUUUUGAUACAGUAAGUAAAUGUAACUAAGUGAGUUAGUAAGUGAGUAACGGAGGGAGUAAGCUGUUUUUCCCCUGUGAAAUCAAGUACACAAUAAUUGAUUGUUUCAACGACUAGCACUAAAAGGGAAAUAACACUUUAUAAAUGUUACAUUGUAGACUUCCGAAGAGUUUUUCUGGCUUUCAAUCAUUAGGUUAAUACUUUGCAUCUCCACAGAAAUAUAUAUCCGCAGGAAAUCUAAACCGGAUUGUUAUAAGUUCUUGAAAUUAAAACAAAUAAAAACACUAAAAUCUUGGGAAAAAUUUGACGGUUCCGAAGUGUAGACUCUAAGUACUGCCUUUUUUAUCAUCUUAACUGCGUGUUAUAAUGCUUUUUUAUUUGUCUUUGUAACAUAUUAACCUUAACUGUUUAGUCCAAUUUUUCUCAAUAAUUAUCCUUUUGGCGUUGCUGGUUACUUAUGUAUCCCACCAAUGUGUUGUUGUGCUGUGGUCAUUUCUUGUUUUUUGUCUUUCAUUUUUACGUCAUCGGACUUUCCCCUCAUUUGUUACUCAUUUGGUUCAGAGUCAAUGAAGCAUAUUGAAUAACCUUGCUCUAGAACAUAUAUCUACUCCAAAUAAAAAUGAUGUAAUUUGCCUUUUAAGAAAAAAGAAAAAAAUCCAGAGGGUUAAUUUGAUACAUAGUUGAUAGUAUAUUUGUCGUAAUUAGUAUGUUAUUUGCCUAUUUCGGAUUAAAAAAAAACGUAACUGAUUAAAUCACAAAAGUUAUAAAAAAUCUGUAAAAAUUUAAAACAUAUAAAAAGAAGAAAAAGAAGCAAAAUUGGGGAAAUUUUCAAAUUGCUGGGUUGCAAUAUUUGUGACAAAUCAAUGUAAAAUGUUUACAAUAUAAUUGAAAACUGUAGGACGAGUUGAUAACGAAAAAAAAACCGGACCGGGUGUUGUAAUGUUUGCUGUAAUAUAAGUUCACAAGUCCGAUGUAUAAGUUUAGAACGCGUACGGACCCGACCGGAAUCCUUUAUAAUUACAGUGUACACACCUAUGAUGUAAACCAAUAAUAAACGAGAUUACAGCUACAAAACUAUAUGACAAUCAUUUUAAUGAAAAGCUGGAUAUAUAUGAGGAGUUUAUUCAAAAUUGGUUAGAUUAAUUAAAAAAGGAGUCAGAAGAGUGGGCAAAUUAAGAGAAUUCUUUAUUGGUGCAUGCCAUUUUACAUGAUGAAAAAAGCUGCUAAUGAUUUUGGAUAUUUAACCACGUGCACACAAGAAAUAUAAUUUAAAAUACGAUAAAUGCUAAAUUAUAAUAUUCAAUCAAUUUUAGGGACACGUUAAUUGAUUAACAUUUUUUUUUUAAAUAGUUGCAAAAACUUAUUGGGCGAAAGUUCAUCUAAAUUUGUGUAUUUCUUUUAUCAGUUAUCUCACAUGUCUCCUGUUACUAAUAGGACAUAUAAGAUAUACAAGAAACAAUGCAUUGUAUCUGUUGUAGGAACAGCCUGUUAACCGUAUCAAUCUCUGUAGAUUCUUCAUAAAUUUUGACUGUUUUAUUUUAGAGACUUUAUUGUGUUGGGAAAAGUCAAGUCCAUAACAUAAUAAUGAUGAUAACAGUUCGAUUCCUCGUGCAUAUGACACCCAUGUUCAUUGCCCUACAGCUAGGGAAAAGUUAUCAACGUAAGUUUUAGAUUCUUAUGGUUUUAUAAGUUAAACAUCGAGUCUAGAUAAUUAAAGCAUGACUGUUCUUGUUCUUCACUGGGGCGUAUUGCGUUUCCGCUAUUUUUUCGAAGUCCCAAUACUACGUUUCCGGAAAUUUAAAGUAUACGUUUCCGCAAUUUGUAUUUAUUACUUUUCCAGAAAUAUACCUGGCCACAGACC